GGUUAUUUCGUUCGGACUAGUUUUGCAAGGUGCUGCAUGGUUGUCGUCAGCUCGUGCCGUGAGGUGUCGGGUUAAGUCCCAUAACGAGCGCAACCCCUAUUGUUAGUUGCCAUCAGGUCAUGCUGGGGACUCUAACAAAACUGCCCGCGUAAGCGUGGAGGAAGGUGGGGAUGACGUCAAAUCAGCACGGCCCUUACGUCCAGGGCUACACACGUGCUACAAUGGCCGGUACAGAGGGCAGCCACUUGGUGACAAGGAGCAAAUCUCAAAAGCCGGUCUCAGUUCGGAUCGGAGUCUGCAACUCGACUCCGUGAAGUUGGAUUCGCUAGUAAUCGUAGAUCAGCAAUGCUACGGUGAAUACGUUCCCGGGCCUU
RNAcentral lists this ribosomal RNA (374 nucleotides) under uncultured Bacteroidota bacterium. RNAcentral's name for it is "bacterial SSU rRNA". It matches the Rfam family "Bacterial small subunit ribosomal RNA", at positions 1008 to 1382 of the family's 1533-position model. Lineage: Bacteria; Pseudomonadati; Bacteroidota. The record is from RNAcentral.